AAUUAAUGAGCUUGUUUAUAAGCUUUUGUUUUGAAAACUUAAGAAAGAAAAAUCUAUUUCUAUUAAUUU
RNAcentral lists this transfer RNA (69 nucleotides) under Hydropsyche sp. XG-2022. Its description in RNAcentral is "tRNA-Ser". The record is from RNAcentral. Lineage: Eukaryota; Metazoa; Arthropoda; Insecta; Trichoptera; Hydropsychidae.